GACGAACGCUGGCGGAGUGCUUAACACAUGCAAGUCGAACGAUGAAGCCGGAGCUUGCUCUGGUGAAUUAGUGGCGAACGGGUGAGUAACACGUGAGUAACCUGCCCUUGACUCUGGGAUAACUGCUAGAAAUGGUAGCUAAUACCGGAUACGACCCUCGGAGGCAUCUCCAGGGGGUGGAAAGAAUUUCGGUCAAGGAUGGACUCGCGGCCUAUCAGCUAGUUGGUGAGGUAACGGCUCACCAAGGCGACGACUGGUAGCCUGCCUGAGAGGGUGACCGGCCACACUGGGACUGCGACACGGCCCAGACUUCUACGGGCGGCAGCAGUCUGGAAUAUUGCACAAUGGGCGCAAGCCUGAUGCAUCAACGCCGCUUGGGGGAUGACGGCCUUCGGGUUGUAAACCUCUUUUAGUAGGGAAUAAGCGAAAGUGACGGUACCUGCAGAAAAAGCACCGGCUAUCUACGUUCCAGCCGCCGCGGUAA
This 484-nucleotide ribosomal RNA is filed under the name uncultured bacterium. RNAcentral describes it as "partial 16S ribosomal RNA". It matches the Rfam family "Bacterial small subunit ribosomal RNA", at positions 28 to 523 of the family's 1533-position model. The record is from RNAcentral.